This 88-nucleotide transfer RNA is filed under the name Microcaldota archaeon. RNAcentral's name for it is "tRNA-Ile". It matches the Rfam family "tRNA". Rfam says of the family: Transfer RNA (tRNA) molecules are approximately 80 nucleotides in length. The record is from RNAcentral. Lineage: Archaea; Nanobdellati; Microcaldota.
GGCCGGGAUGCUCAAAUUGGUUUGAGCGCAGAACUGAUGACUCUGUGGGCUUGAUCAGCCUCUGCGGGUUCGAUUCCCGCCCCGACCG